UUGGUGUGCUCUGGUCAAAGGAAAAACACAGGGGGCGAACAAGCUUAUCCAUUGGAACCCUAGUUCCUGCAAUUCCAUCAAAUUGCGAAGGGAAAUCAGUUCCAAAUCAAAAUCCAAACUCGAAUUAGUGAUCACCUUCGCGAAAGGAUCAUAAGGCACGGUGGUUGAAUCUUCAAGCGGUCAAGUCGGAGCGGACGCGCGCUUGAAGGAUAUGCUUUGAAAGGUGAUGUUGGUCUCGCUCCGGAUGGCGAUCAAGCAUGAAUUCAAGAACCGAACACAUCGUUUUGAAGCUUCCGCAUUAAUCUAAAUUCUUGUAGACAAUGUUUAUUUUGUAAACACUUAACUUAAUGUCCCUCAUGUUUAAACUAGUUAGUUAGAUAGUUAACUGAGAUACUAUCGUUAUGAAA
This is a long non-coding RNA of Helianthus annuus (common sunflower), 407 nucleotides long. RefSeq lists it as uncharacterized. NCBI's taxonomy places the organism in Eukaryota, Viridiplantae, Streptophyta, Magnoliopsida, Asterales, Asteraceae. The record is from RefSeq and is a predicted model, not a curated record. The transcript has 3 exons.